AGCAGCCGCGGUAAUUCCAGCUCCAAUAGCGUAUAUUAAAGUUGUUGCAGUUAAAAAGCUCGUAGUUGAAUUUCGGGGUCAGUAGGUUGGUCAUGCCACUGGUAUGUACUGGUCUCACUGAUUCCUCCUUCCUGAUGAACUGUAAUGCCAUUAAUUUGGUGUUGCAGGGAAUCUGGACUGUUACUUUGAAAAAAUUAGAGUGUUUAAAGCAGGCUAACGCCUGAAUACAUUAGCAUGGAAUAAUGAAAUAGGACGUUCGAUCCUAUUUUGUUGGUUUCUAGGAUUGACGUAAUGAUUAAUAGGGAUAGUUGGGGGCAUUAGUAUUCAAUUGUCAGAGGUGAAAUUCUUGGAUUUAUUGAAGACUAACUACUGCGAAAGCAUUUGCCAAGGAUGUUUUCAUUAAUCAAGAACGAAAGUUAGGGGAUCGAAGACGAUCAGAUACCGUCGUAGUCUUAACCAUAAACUAUGCCGACUAGGGAUCGGAUGAUGUAAUUUUUAAUGACUCAUUC
RNAcentral lists this ribosomal RNA (509 nucleotides) under uncultured Glomus. RNAcentral describes it as "SSU rRNA". It matches the Rfam family "Eukaryotic small subunit ribosomal RNA", at positions 569 to 1081 of the family's 1831-position model. Lineage: Eukaryota; Fungi; Glomeromycota; Glomeromycetes; Glomerales; Glomeraceae. The record is from RNAcentral.